Long non-coding RNA from Cyprinus carpio (common carp), 1113 nucleotides. Lineage: Eukaryota; Metazoa; Chordata; Actinopteri; Cypriniformes; Cyprinidae. The record is from Ensembl.
AUUCAUUUUCUGAGAAUCAGCUUUCUGGGCGUGUGCUUUUGAUGUUUGCAUUUGUGUCGUCUUGUGCUUGGAUAUUUAAAUCGGCAAGGCUUAAAAACAUGUGCAAAUGAUUAACUUUCAUGACAAUGGCCAGAUUUGAGGAUUGAAACAGUUCCAUCAGCUGUCCUGAACCACAGCAAUGUUCACUGGCAAUGAGCCAUUAGCCAGUCAUUAUUAGCUGCUUUUCCACUGUGGGGCCAGUGCGAGCCAGCGAGCCUGCGCUUCACUAAAACCCGCCCUUUACACGCCUCUCAGGAACAAUGUCACACAACCCCAUCAUUCACCAACAAAGAGACGUUAUCAGAAAACUAACUAAGAAAUAAGUCAUGGGAACUAGCGCGAUCACAAAACAAACCUGAUAAAAGCGGCCGUUUGUUUGCAUGCUUUGUUAAAUAUUUAAAUCCAAAAGCAUCAAUGUUUUACUAUAAUAAGUGAUACAUAAUUAAUUAAUUUAUCAGGAUUGAAAAUUAGUCACACAGAAAUAAAGCAUUAUGAACAUAGAAGCAGACUCGACUGAAUAAGAAGGCUGUUUAUUUGUAGUCACAGUAGCCUAUAUACAGUAGGUGGACAUCCAAAACGUCGUUUCUACCGCCGCUCGUACCGCCGCCGCGGCGUCUGCAAAGUGCAUUUGCAGCUUUUGACCGCUGAGUGGCGCUUUAAUCACAAGUUUUCAAACAAGCGCAUCAAAGCACAUUUUCGCAAAUAGACGUCAGCUUUGCCUCACUGAAGUGUUAUAUUUGACUGCAGUCGGGGAAAAUUAAAGAAAAAAUAUUUAAUAUUCACAGAUGAAAGUUUAGUCCUUAUGAAGAUAUGUGCGUUUCUUAGAACGAAUUCAAGCAGGAUAAAUGUCAAGCCUAUGAGCCUGUGCUUAGAUUUGACACAUUUAAAUAGUGUGCAGUAUUAUUUAUAUAAUAUGAAUUAUGUGUUAUAUUAUUCAAAAGAAAUUGUGGUUUACUUUGCAUCGGAGCAUUAAGAGUGGUAGCCUAUUGUGAGCUAGGCUUGCGUGUUUUAUAAAUUAUUUUCUUUAUUUUAGUAAAACGUGAGGGACUGUAUAAUUUCGCUUCCAUUAUUUAG